GACGAACGCUGGCGGCGUGCUUAACACAUGCAAGUCGAACGGAAAGGCCCUGCUUUUGUGGGGUGCUCGAGUGGCGAACGGGUGAGUAACACGUGAGUAACCUGCCCUUGACUUUGGGAUAACUUCAGGAAACUGGGGCUAAUACCGGAUAGGAGCUCCUGCUGCAUUGUGGGGGUUGGAAAGUUUCGGCGGUUGGGGAUGGACUCGCGGCUUAUCAGCUUGUUGGUGGGGUAGUGGCUUACCAAGGCUUUGGCGGGUAGGCGGCCUGAGAGGGUGACCGGCCACAUUGGGACUGAGAUACGCCCCAGACUCCUACGGGAGGCAGCAGUGGGAAAUAUUGCACAAUGGGCGGAAGCCUGAUGCAGCAACGCCGCGUGCGGGAUGACGGCCUUCGGGUUGUAAACCGCUUUCGCCUGUGACGAAGCGUGAGUGACGGUAAUGGGUAAAGAAGCACCGGCUAACUACGUG
This 468-nucleotide ribosomal RNA is filed under the name uncultured bacterium. Its description in RNAcentral is "partial 16S ribosomal RNA". It matches the Rfam family "Bacterial small subunit ribosomal RNA", at positions 28 to 507 of the family's 1533-position model. The record is from RNAcentral.